Molecule: long non-coding RNA, 453 nt
Filed under: Ursus maritimus (polar bear)
Lineage: Eukaryota; Metazoa; Chordata; Mammalia; Carnivora; Ursidae
Description: lncRNA (ENSUMAG00000000533.1)
Source: RNAcentral
GAAGAACAGGUGCCUACUUCCUCCCGUGCUCUGUGGCCGGUGUCCUGAGCUUGCUGACCCAACCUGCAGGUUACUAUGGCCCAGGGUGUGUGGACGCCUGCCUCUUGAAUCCCUGUCAGAACCAGGGGUCAUGCCGCCACCUCCCAGGAGCCCCCCAUGGCUAUACCUGCGAUUGUGUGGGUGGCUAUUUUGGGCACCACUGUGAGCACAGGAUGGACCAACAGUGUCCUCGGGGCUGGUGGGGGAGCCCAAGCUGUGGCCCCUGCAACUGUGACGUUCACAAGGGCUUUGACCCCAACUGUAAUAAGACAAACGGGCAGUGUCACUGCAAGGAGUUCCACUACCGACCACGGGGCAGCGACUCAUGCCUCCCAUGUGACUGCUACCCUGUGGGCUCCACCUCACGUUCAUGCGCACCCCACAGUGGGCAGUGCCCCUGUCGCCCAGGAGCCC